RNAcentral lists this long non-coding RNA (1060 nucleotides) under Gossypium barbadense (sea-island cotton). Its description in RNAcentral is "long non-coding RNA (GBAR_LNC009983)". The record is from RNAcentral. Lineage: Eukaryota; Viridiplantae; Streptophyta; Magnoliopsida; Malvales; Malvaceae.
UGAAAUUAAAUUAUAUACUUUUAUUAUAAUAAAAAUUAUAAUUUCAUCAUUUUAAUAAUUUAUAUCUUUAUAAUUUUUAAAAGAUUUAAUCAAAUUUUUAUCACUCGAGGAAGAGGGGGACAAAGUGCAAUUUUACCAUAUUAAAUUAAUAUUUUAUAAAUUAUAAAGGGUUUAAAUGAAAAAUUUUCUAUUUUAAUGGACAAAGGCUUUGCUACUAUUUGAAAUGUUGUUCACUAGGUAAUUGAUCGAACUUCCAACAAUCGAAUGUAUUGUCCUCUUAUCAAGAUUUUGUCCCCAACCCUCGUAGAGAGUUGUGUACGAUUCACGAAGGGAGACACCUCGAUUGAUGGAUGUAGACCCAAUUUUUAGCCCGGGCCCAUACAUAUACAAAAAAUAAAACAAAAAACAGCAAUCCUAAUUUUUUUAACCAGCCCAAUUGCAUAAAAUAACCCAAAUAAUUUUGGCCCGUUUACGUAAGCCCAAUACUCAUGCUCUAACCUAAACAAUUAGAAAACUGAAAUCUUAAAUCCCUAAAAGCUUCAUUCGCACCAUAAUCUUCAGCCACGAUCACUCCCGUCACGCACGCACGCCCUGCUCCACGUUCGCAUCCACAUCUUCACGACCUGCAAGUUGAGCAAAAAUAGCCAAAAACCGCUUGUAUUUUGGUUAUAAAAGCCUUCGUUUUUAAGUGUUUAGGGGUUUUUUUUUGGAAAAAUAGAAGAUAGAAACAAUAUCAACACACACAGAGAGAUAUUGCAACCAUAUUUGUUGAAGGUGAUUAAAAGCCUCAUUUUUCUUUCGAUUUUAUUUUCCUUUUCUUUGAUUUUUUUAUCUAUUGUACGUAAAUAAUAAGAGAAAUGAGGAAAAGCUUACCGGAGUCACUGUCGGAGGGCCUUCGCUGGGUGCGAUUGGAGGGUAGUGGUGCUAGUAUUUCGGCGAGGAAGCAAGGGGAGAGUGAGAGAUUGGAGAGCAUGAGGGUUUUUUUUAAACAAAAAUCAAAUGGUUUUCAAAAUAGUUUUUUAAAUUUUAGUAAUAAGUUUUAAGCAGUAGCAUUGGGAAG